This 253-nucleotide ribosomal RNA is filed under the name uncultured bacterium. RNAcentral describes it as "partial 16S ribosomal RNA". It matches the Rfam family "Bacterial small subunit ribosomal RNA", at positions 524 to 776 of the family's 1533-position model. The record is from RNAcentral.
UACGUAGGUGGCAAGCGUUGUCCGGAUUUACUGGGUGUAAAGGGUGCUCAGGUGGCUUGGAAAGUCAGUGGUGAAAUCUGAGAGCUUAACUCUCAAACUGCCAUUGAUACUUCUUAGCUUGAGUACGGAAGAGGCUGAUGGAAUUUCAGGUGUAGCAGUGAAAUGCGUAGAUAUCUGAAAGAACACCAGUGGCGAAGGCGGUCAGCUGGUCCGUUACUGACACUAAAGCACGAAAGCGUGGGUAGCAAACAGG